Small nuclear RNA from Suncus etruscus (white-toothed pygmy shrew), 107 nucleotides. NCBI's taxonomy places the organism in Eukaryota, Metazoa, Chordata, Mammalia, Eulipotyphla, Soricidae. The record is from RefSeq and is a predicted model, not a curated record.
GUGCUCGCUUCGGCAGCACCUAUACUAAAAUUGGAACAAUACGGAGAAGAUUAGCAUGGCCCCUGCGCAAGGAGAAUUAGAAUGAAGAAUAAAGAAUACACACAAAA